UGGCGGACGGGUGAGUAACGCGUGGGUAACCUGCCUCAUACAGGGGGAUAACAGUUAGAAAUGACUGCUAAUACCGCAUAAGCGCACGGAAUCGCAUGGUUUUGUGUGAAAAACUUUGGUGGUAUGAGAUGGACCCGCGUCUGAUUAGCUGGUUGGUGAGGUAACGGCCCACCAAGGCGACGAUCAGUAGCCGGCCUGAGAGGGUGAACGGCCACAUUGGGACUGAGACACGGCCCAAACUCCUACGGGAGGCAGCAG
This 258-nucleotide ribosomal RNA is filed under the name uncultured bacterium. RNAcentral's name for it is "partial 16S ribosomal RNA". It matches the Rfam family "Bacterial small subunit ribosomal RNA", at positions 96 to 354 of the family's 1533-position model. The record is from RNAcentral.